CAGUCGCCGCGGUAAUACGAAGGGGGCUAGCGUUGUUCGGAUUUACUGGGCGUAAAGCGCACGUAGGCGGACUUUUAAGUCAGGGGUGAAAUCCCGGGGCUCAACCCCGGAACUGCCUUUGAUACUGGAAGUCUUGAGUAUGGAAGAGGUGAGUGGAAUUCCGAGUGUAGAGGUGAAAUUCGUAGAUAUUCGGAGGAACACCAGUGGCGAAGGCGGCUCACUGGUCCAUUGCUGACGCUGAGGUGCGGAAGCGUGGGGAGCAAACAGGAUUAGAUACCCCUGUAGUCCCUGUCUCUUAUAC
Molecule: ribosomal RNA, 301 nt
Filed under: uncultured bacterium
Lineage: Bacteria
Description: partial 16S ribosomal RNA
Rfam family: Bacterial small subunit ribosomal RNA
Source: RNAcentral